RNAcentral lists this ribosomal RNA (419 nucleotides) under uncultured bacterium. Its description in RNAcentral is "bacterial SSU rRNA". It matches the Rfam family "Bacterial small subunit ribosomal RNA", at positions 361 to 776 of the family's 1533-position model. The record is from RNAcentral.
AUAUUGGGCAAUGGGCGAAAGCCUGACCCAGCAAUGCCGCGUGUGUGAUGAAGGCCCUUGGGUUGUAAAGCACUGUCGGGAGGGAAGAAAAAGCCUGGGUAACGCCAGGACUUGACGGUACCUCCAACGGAAGCACCGGCUAACUCCGUGCCAGCAGCCGCGGUAAUACGGAGGGUGCAAGCGUUGUUCGGAAUUACUGGGCGUAAAGCGCGUGUAGGUGGCGCUGUCAGUCGGAUGUGAAAGCCCUCGGCUCAACCGAGGAAGUGCAUCCGAUACUGCAGUGCUUGAGUGUCGGAGGGGAUGGCGGAAUUCCCGGUGUAGAGGUGAAAUUCGUAGAUAUCGGGAGGAACACCUGUGGCGAAGGCGGCCAUCUGGACGAUUACUGACACUGAGACGCGAAAGCGUGGGUAGCAAACAGG